This is a long non-coding RNA of Triticum aestivum (bread wheat), 443 nucleotides long. RefSeq lists it as uncharacterized. The record is from RefSeq and is a predicted model, not a curated record. The transcript has 2 exons. Lineage: Eukaryota; Viridiplantae; Streptophyta; Magnoliopsida; Poales; Poaceae.
CCUCCGCCGCUCCCCGCUCGUGAUGGCCGCCGGUGACUCCGCCGUUCGCCCGCGGCCCUGCGCCCUCCGCCGCUCGUGACGGCCGCCGGUGCGACCUCCGCCGCUCGUCCACCUGGCCUACUCCGCUGCUCGCCCCGUCGCCCGUCCUCUGCUCCCCUGCUGCCCUGCUCCGCCGCUCGCGCAGCCCAGCUCACCGCCUCGCCCGCUCUGCUGGUUCCUGCUCUCCGCCACGCGCAGCCCAGCUCGCCGCCUCGCCCGCUCUGCCAGCUCCUGCUCUCUGCUGCCCAGGAUUGGUGUUGGCUCUUCUUCCACCGUUGAUUAAGUUAUGGAAGACACUGAUGAAGCAAGCCAUUGAUUUGGUAUUCUUUUUACUGCACGUAUUGUUCGUAGCUUUUGUCAUCUUUUUUAUCAAUUUUGUUGUGUCUCUAAGCAUUGAGUUUAAA